GACGAACGCUGGCGGCGUGCCUAAUACAUGCAAGUAGAACGCUGAAGGAGGAGCUUGCUUCUCCGGAUGAGUUGCGAACGGGUGAGUAACGCGUAGGUAACCUGCCUGGUAGCGGGGGAUAACUAUUGGAAACGAUAGCUAAUACCGCAUAACAGUAGAUGUUGCAUGACAUUUGCUUAAAAGGUGCAAUUGCAUCACUACCAGAUGGACCUGCGUUGUAUUAGCUAGUUGGUGGGGUAACGGCUCACCAAGGCGACGAUACAUAGCCGACCUGAGAGGGUGAUCGGCCACACUGGGACUGAGACACGGCCCAGACUCCUACGGGAGGCAGCAGUAGGGAAUCUUCGGCAAUGGACGGAAGUCUGACCGAGCAACGCCGCGUGAGUGAAGAAGGUUUUCGGAUCGUAAAGCUCUGUUGUAAGAGAAGAACGAGUGUGAGAGUGGAAAGUUCACACUGUGACGGUAUCUUACCAGAAAGGGACGGCUAACUACGUG
Molecule: ribosomal RNA, 495 nt
Filed under: uncultured bacterium
Lineage: Bacteria
Description: partial 16S ribosomal RNA
Rfam family: Bacterial small subunit ribosomal RNA
Source: RNAcentral